AAAUUGAAGAGUUUGAUCAUGGCUCAGAUUGAACGCUGGCGGCAGGCCUAACACAUGCAAGUCGAACGGUAACAGGAAACAGCUUGCUGUUUCGCUGACGAGUGGCGGACGGGUGAGUAAUGUCUGGGAAACUGCCUGAUGGAGGGGGAUAACUACUGGAAACGGUAGCUAAUACCGCAUAACGUCGCAAGACCAAAGAGGGGGACCUUAGGGCCUCUUGCCAUCGGAUGUGCCCAGAUGGGAUUAGCUUGUUGGUGGGGUA
Molecule: ribosomal RNA, 262 nt
Filed under: Escherichia coli
Lineage: Bacteria; Pseudomonadati; Pseudomonadota; Gammaproteobacteria; Enterobacterales; Enterobacteriaceae
Description: partial 16S ribosomal RNA
Rfam family: Bacterial small subunit ribosomal RNA
Source: RNAcentral